Molecule: long non-coding RNA, 735 nt
Organism: Ornithorhynchus anatinus (platypus)
Lineage: Eukaryota; Metazoa; Chordata; Mammalia; Monotremata; Ornithorhynchidae
Exons: 2
Source: RefSeq, a predicted model, not a curated record
AGAUUGUGAAGUUCACCACUUGACAAAAGAAAAAGAGUGUGUUUUUUUUCCUUCUGAAUUUCCUCCUCCUUUCUGCAGCAUAGGCUCCAUAUUUGAGGCUGCCUCUUGAUAUCCUGAAUUUUCAAAAGUUUUAACUCAAGGAGAGCCACCGUUCACUACACUGAAACCUGCCAGGCUGGUCUGACUGCUGCAUUGCUUUCCCAGAAGACUGUGAACUAUGUUCCCUUGCUGGUGACCUUGCUGGUAACUGUGCUUCACUAUGUCUUUAAAAUGUUUAUUUGGCGCUUGGUUGGUAAGUGCCCUCUUUCAGUUCACUGUACAUCAGUUGCUCAGACUUCCUGUUGUCAAUGCAUGAGAACACUGCCCCCACCCUUAUAGAAUGUACAGUCUGAUAGGGGGUGCAUAGAGGAGAAACAUAUAACCACCUUAAAAACUUGCACUGGAUCCUACAAUUGUAUGAGGAUAUAAAAAAGGAAGAAUAAGUACUGAAUUGUUUUGGGGUUAAUCAAGGAAAACUCCCUGGUGGAGAUGGGUCUUUAACUGAGAUUUAAGAGAGUAGAGGGGUGUGUGUUCAUGAAUUGCCAGGUUAGGUUGUCAGUACUUCCCAGAGUGAUAACUUUCUGCUUCAUUUUUGUUUUAUGCGGAUCCACAGAUAGCUAACACAGGAGCAACUGAUGAGUGUUUCAAGUAACUGGGAAAAAUAAUUCUGGAAUAUUAAACCUAGAACAAUUCAGA